UCAUUGCGAUUUUGUUCGGCUCA
Molecule: microRNA, 23 nt
Filed under: Ascaris suum (pig roundworm)
Lineage: Eukaryota; Metazoa; Nematoda; Chromadorea; Rhabditida; Ascarididae
Description: asu-miR-5353-3p
Source: miRBase by way of RNAcentral